Non-coding RNA from Sus scrofa (pig), 5756 nucleotides. The record is from RefSeq and is a predicted model, not a curated record. NCBI's taxonomy places the organism in Eukaryota, Metazoa, Chordata, Mammalia, Artiodactyla, Suidae.
UGGAAAGACGGAGAUGUGAGCGCAGGGGGCUCGGGGCCCGGAGCGGCUGGUGUGGCGGGCUUUGCCGGGGUGCUGGCGAGCGGUGCGCGGUAGAGGGGGCUGUGAUCACCUUCAAGAGGCCACAAGCAAUUCAAGAGGAAAGACCUGGAGGUCCUCAGUGUCCCUGAAGCCACAGGACAAAGAGGAAGGCGGCCCUCAGGCCUCAAACAGGCGGAGCAGCGGAGGCAGAAGAUGCGACAGGAAGGGAAGUGGCAGAGACGGGGCAUUCCAAGGUCCUGGGGAAGGGCAGGCCUAGGGGAGGGGGCCAGGCAAGGGUCUCGUUUUGGGGGUGACCCCCCCCCGCCCUCUUUGACUUUGCGCUGCCCUUGAGCGCAGACAUCUGGGUGGAGGCGGCAGUCUGUGGAGGGGCCGUUUCCCACCUUGAGGGAGGGGCCUUUGACUCUGGGUCCAGAGGAGGGGGGGUCGGUCCUGAACAUGCAACAGAAGGGUGCUGAGUGGGAAGCAGAGAAUCCGACGUCGAGGGCUGGAAGGGACCUUGGAGAUGGAGAAGUAGAACUCCAGGCCUGAGCAGGAUGGGGAAACUGAGGCUCACGUGAGGGGAGGGACUCGUCCAAGGUCACACAGGUAGGGCUGGAAGCCUAGGACCUCUGACACCCUAACUCCUCUCAGGGUGUGAUGUUCAAAAUGCCAACUACUAGGCACUGGUCCAUCACAAGCCCAUGAAAGCUGGAAACAACCUGGACCGAGUGCCAGCCUCCCUGCUCUCCUCCUCCCGGCUCACGGCAACGCUGCAGGAUGAUGCAGGAAACUGGGCCCUAGCAAAGCAGCCGCGUGUCAUUCUGCAACAUUCCACAUCCGUGCUGGUUUUCCUGAUCCCCUGGAAUGACUAAAAGCAGGACCCGGUAAAGAUGGCUUUUCACUAGAGGUGAGGAGCUUGGUCAGAGGCUAUGGGAUGGCAUCUUAUAUAUAUUGCAUUGCAUCCCACGAUCCAGGACAAGCUGCUGCAUCCCAGGAUCCAGGAUUCUAAUAUUACUCUGACAGAGGUCCACUCUCAAGCCACAGGCAUAAAAAAAAAGGGGGGGGAUUUCUAGCCAGAUGGGCUCUUGGGCUGUGUGGGUGAGAGUGUGUGUGAGUGUGUGUGCACCCCAGUGAGCUGUAGGACGGUGCUAAAUGUGACCCCUGCUUUCAGAUGGCCUUGGUGGACAUCAAGUAGACACCACUGUUGUCUGGGCAACUCGUCGACCACAUCCUCUACUGAGGAUGCUGCUUGGGUACCGACUAAGGCAUCACUCUAACUCGUCCCUUCUCACUCCGACAUCCGCAGUGUUGACCAAAGGAAUGUCCAGAAGAGUCCCAGCUGGCUGCCCGGUGCCCAGCAUGGUGAACAAGCACUGUCCUCCUCGACUGGACCAGAGCCCAAGAGGCUUCCUUUCUGACAGUAUAAAAAGAACGGACUACCUCCCUUGAAACUCGCAUUUCCCACUGAUCGAAGACUACCAGUUGCUCUUUGCUGCUUUUCACUCUCAAAAGGAGCCUUUCUGCCCAAACCUGCCCUUUGAAAUGGCCUCUUUCUCUCUCCAUUUCUCCCCACUCAUUGGCUCUGAGGAAUCCUCUGGAACGACGUGCAGGGCCACGCUGCUUGUGCCUUUUCUCUGGUUUGGGUCAGGCCGCCAUCCUGAGUCCAGAGGCUUGCCUUUCAGGGCACUUCAUCACAACUGCAAGUUCUACUGAUGGUGUUUUGAAAGCAUCUCCGCUUUCCCCAGGCCACUGGGUCUUAGGACUCUGUGUGAGUCCAGGCAGCUCUGGGCGGUCUGUACAACCUGGACCUAUAGGUCCGACAGCCUGAUAGCCUGGUGGUCACCUAGGCAGGUAUUAUAUAUUGGGGUGGCUUAAUCCCUUCCAAAUUCAGAAAAGGAAUUGAUUUUCGUGUGGCCUCAUUAAGUGGUGAAAAAGAGUCAUGCCUCCUCUCCCUUAAGAAGCAACCCUAAGGGAACAGCCUGAAUCUAUCUUGAGAUAGCGCUGACAUUCCAAAAACUCAUUCGCUUUAAUUGGGCUCAGGACUUUGGAGGAAUUUACCUGGGAUUCUUGUCCCAGAGGCUCUUUCAUUCUUAUUAUUCAUUCUCCUAAGAAACACUGCAUAUCCUGGAUCUUAGCUUGUGGGGCUAUAAUUCAUCACUUCUUGGUGUUAAUAAUUCCCCUGCAACGUGAUCGUUUGGUCCAGUUCUCCGAUGCCAGGAGCACAAAGGUCUUCGGGAACCUUCUGCCACGCAGUGGGAGAGGCUAUGCCCAUGCAGGAAGGAUGCUAAAAAGGCCCACCGACUGCAUUUUACCACCCGCUCUUUCUUUCAGGGUUUAAGGGGUGUUUCGUGGGGUGUCAGCUUGGCCUGCAACAGCCCCCCUGACUGACAGUUGCCUUUUCUGGGGUGGUUGUCUUAGUCACCUCCCCUGAGGGCCCGCAAAAGCCAUAAGGCAUGUCCCCUCCCCGCCUCCACGGUGGCUUUUUGGAAAAAUACAUGAAGGAUUGCCUCUGCGGUGGCCCUGGAGGGUGAUCAAGGGGCAACAUUUUAUUUAAGGGAUGCUGGCUUUUCGGACUGAAAGGGAAUUUGGAUUUUCUAAAUUAAAAAAAAAAAAAGUCACUGUAAUUUCCAAUGACAAUACAGUUGUAAGCUCGCUCAGCCACACAUGGAGCUCACUCCCGCCCCCGGAGGAAGACGAAUCGCUUCUCACAAGGGAAUUCAUGUUCUCGCUGCGGAGUCUGGUUCCGGGCUAUUCCUAUUUCUGUCCCCGCAGCUCCAGCCAAUUUGGGUCAGCUGUGUGGAUAAACAUUUGCUUACUUGGAGCGCAGCAAACGAUCCCAAGAUAAGAACAGGCCUCCUGCUGGUCCCCGCUUCCAGCCUUUCUGCCUCCAACAGGACCUUGGAAGAGGGAGGAAACGGGCCAGGAGCCAGGGUCCGGGCGGGGGCGGGGGCGGCCGCCGGAGCGCUGGUUCGCAACGUGUGGCCUGGGGACCCGCAUCAGCAGCAUCAGCUGGAAACGGGUCAAAACCCCCAAUUCUCAGGCUCCAGCCCAGACCCACGGGCUCCCAAGCCCCGGUGGGAGGCGGGAGCCAGAGGGGUCGGCAUUUUCAAAGCCUCCAGGGGCUGCUGGGGCUUUGGCGUUUCCAAGGCCAGUGGGUCCCGAUCUGGAGUCCUCGGGCAUCUGGGAGUUCCAAAAGGAAGGAACGAGGUGUCUAGGACUGAUUUUUCAGUGUGUCAACGAGCCGAAGGAGAAAGCUAUGCGGGCCCGGAGAAAGCCUGCUUCGGUUAAGGGAACAGUCCGUCUCCACGGUCGCGGCCUGGAAUCUUGACAACGUGGUUGGGAACUGGUUGUUCUCGUCUGAAAGCUCUGGCUGGUAAGUGUACACACCAGGAAUGAAUCAGAGACAGCUACACGGACUAGUACCUCCUAGAGAUAAGGCUCUUCGGGAGGAAGACAAAACUAAUUCAGACCUCAGGUCUCUAGCAGUGAUGGGUCUCACGGAAGAGCCUUGGGUGACGGGGAUUUGGGAGCCAGCCCUUGGGCUCUGUCCCUGCUUUGCCAGCUAUUCUUGGCCCGGCCUUGGAAACGACUGCCAGUCCUCCUAGGGUCGCCGUUUCCCACCGCUAAGAUGGGCUUAGUAAGGCUUGUCCUCCUUGGAAACGGUAUUGUCCCUUUAGGCUGCCAGAGGACUGUCCCUUCAGUCCCCCACAUGGUCCCGCACCCGGGCUGCCCGGACAGUUGGUCCCGGCCAGCGGUGCUUUCUCUGAGUCCCUGCGCAGAAGUCGCAGCCUUCCUGGGCCCCUGGAGUGCAGCAGCAAAAGCAGCAAAUGUCUUCUGUUUCAAGAUGGCAGACAGAGUACACAACCAAUUCCUAUAAAUAACAGAAAUAAAGUUUUACAAAACCUACACAGUCCCAGGAAAAGAAGAAAAGGAUUCAUGGAGUUCCCUUGUGGUGCAGAUGGGUUAGGGAUCUAGGGUUGUCACUGCUGUGGUUUGGGUCACUGCUGUAGCACAGGUUCCAUGUCCGGCCCAGGAACAUCUGUAUGCUGUGGGCGCAGCCAAAAAAUUUUUUAAAAUUCCACAAGAAGAAGAAGAAGAAGAACAAGAAAAGGAUUCCUUAGUGGAUUAGAACCAUGAGCUAACUCUGAGGACAGAAAAUGAAUAUGGAAUUGACUGGACUGGAAAACUACCUUCUAAGACAUACGCAAGUGAGUUCCUGAAAGCCACGCCUAGAGGCCUUCUUGUCUUGGAGCAGGAGGGGGGUCUAAGGUGCCACGUAUCAAGAUUGUUAGCUGGGGUAUCCAAACCAGAGGUCAGCCGUGUCCUGCACCCUCCACACCUUGGACCAGGCAUCGGCGGUGAGGGAUGCGACAGUCUACAGCUGGGAGUGGUAAACACAGCAUCUCCGCAGACACUGGGGUGGGCUUCAGAUUGUGCAGCAACGUGUCUUCUCCCCACCGACUGUGCUGACGGGCGCAUCAGACAGUCUGCAAGGUGUCCACAGGGCACAGGGGAGGGUACAGUCAUGAAUCCCCUAAGCCGGGAGCAGUGUCGGCACCGUGGUGAGAAAGACUCCAAACUCCCAACAGAACAUCAGGAACACAUGGAGCAGAUCUUCCUCAAUUAAAGAUAAAAUAAAAGGACCACCUCCCAUCCGCUGGGAUGGCGACUGUUUAAAAACCGGGACAGAGCAAGUGUUGAUGAGGAUGGGAAGCGCCGGGAAGCCUGUGCCCGAGGGCGAGAAUGCGAGAGAGAGUUCAGCCGCGGUGGAAAUCAGGCCGGUGGCGCCUCAAAAAGUGAAACCAGAACUACCACACGAUCCACUCUCGCACUUCUGAGAACAUGUCCAGAAGACGUGAGACCUGAAGAAAUACUGGUACAUCCAGGGUCACAGGAGCUCUGUUCGGUGUAUCAGGAGGUGGAAGUGGGAGUUACCCAAGGCUCCAUCCAUGGCUGGAUGGGCAAGUGCAACGUGCUCUAUACGUGCAACAGGAUAUUAUUCAGCCUGAACGCGGAAAGAGGUUCUGACACCUGCUACUGCAUGGAUGAACCUCGAGGAUAUUAUGGGAAAUGACCUAAACUGGUCACAAAAGGACAAAUGGUGUAUGAUUCCACUUACAUGCAGUAUCUAGAGCAGGCCAUUGCACAGAGGCAGAGCAAAGAGUGGUGCUUGUCUGGGGAUGAGGCAGGGGACGUUAUUGUUUUCAUGAGGACUGAGUUUCGGUUUUGCAAGAUGAAAAAGAUCUGAAGACAGCUGCUGGGAUACAACCGUAUGACAUGUACUUAAUGCCACUGGCUGUCCUCUUAAAAACGACGAGAACGGGCAGUUUGAUGUGUGUUUUACUACAAUUAAGAAAAAAUAAACCAAAGAUUAAAGUAAUGCUUAGUUCGUUAAAAUAAACAAAUUCAAGUGGGUGGCUGAAUGAAUGGAGUUACAAACAAGUUAGGAAGCUGGAAGAUGGAGCUGAGCCACUCUCUAGAACACAGCAGAGGGAUAAAGAGUGGACGGCAAAAACAAUACAAACUCCACGCAGAACCACCGCAAGACACAGAAAAGCUUCCAGGAAAAAAGAUACUCGUCCUUGAACUACAGAUAAUAUUAUCAUUACUUGAUUCAUGUACUCGAGGUCCUUUUUCCUACAGGUUUAUGUGGGAUCACACUGUAAGUUUUCCUCCUUUUUUUUUUUUUUUCUUUUUGCCAUUUCUAGGGUCGCUCCCUUGGCAUAUGGAGGUUCCCA